RNAcentral lists this ribosomal RNA (411 nucleotides) under Rhagada radleyi. Its description in RNAcentral is "partial 16S ribosomal RNA". It matches the Rfam family "Bacterial large subunit ribosomal RNA", at positions 1808 to 2593 of the family's 2925-position model. Lineage: Eukaryota; Metazoa; Mollusca; Gastropoda; Stylommatophora; Camaenidae. The record is from RNAcentral.
CAAAAACAUAGCUAGAUGUUAUUAUAUUUAGUGCUUCCUGCUCAAUGAUAUAUUUAAUAGCCGCAGUACCUUGACUGUGCAAAGGUAGCAUAAUCAAUUGGCUUAUAAUUGAAGUCUAGAAUGAAAGGAUAUACGAGUAGUUACUGUAUCUGAUAAUUACUGCAAAAUUAAUUUUCAAGUGCAAAUACUUGUAAAUAACUGUUAGACGAGAAGACCCUAGAAAUUUGUAUUAAUGUUUCGUUGGGGCAACGUAGUAGGAAAACCUACAGUAAAAGACGCGCAGAAAAUUUUCUGGGAGAAAAAAUUACUCUAGGGAUAACAGCAUAAUUUAUAAAAGUUUGUGACCUCGAUGUUGGAUUUGGGAACUAUAGUUCAGAAGACUUUUAAUACCGCUCUGUUCGAGCAUAAUAC